Molecule: small nucleolar RNA, 157 nt
Filed under: Carlito syrichta (Philippine tarsier)
Lineage: Eukaryota; Metazoa; Chordata; Mammalia; Primates; Tarsiidae
Description: Small nucleolar RNA SNORA73 family (ENSTSYG00000024164.2)
Source: RNAcentral
CCAAAGUAGAUGCUCCCAGGAGGUCACGCUGUCCAGGCUUUGUCCAUGAUAUACAAUCCAUUUCUAUGACCUUGGAGAUGAAUCCAGGUCUGCAUAUGCUUACAGCUUUUCAGAGUCCUGUGGUCAAUUCUGUGGAGACAAUCCGCAGAAAACAGCG